UGCCCGGGACAGCUGUGAAUUGCUAGA
RNAcentral lists this non-coding RNA (27 nucleotides) under Homo sapiens (human). Lineage: Eukaryota; Metazoa; Chordata; Mammalia; Primates; Hominidae. The record is from RNAcentral.